AUCCUACGGGAGGCAGCAGUGGGGAAUAUUGCACAAUGGGGGAAACCCUGAUGCAGCCAUGCCGCGUGUGUGAAGAAGGCCUUCGGGUUGUAAAGCACUUUCAGUAGGGAGGAAGGUAGUGUAGUUAACACCUGCACUAUUUGACGUUACCUACAGAAGAAGCACCGGCUAACUCCGUGCCAGCAGCCGCGGUAAUACGGAGGGUGCGAGCGUUAAUCGGAAUUACUGGGCGUAAAGCGCAUGCAGGCGGCCUGUUAAGUCAGAUGUGAAAGCCCGGGGCUUAACCUCGGAAUUGCAUUUGAAACUGGCAGGCUAGAGUCUUGUAGAGGGGGUAGAAUUUCAGGUGUAGCGGUGAAAUGCGUAGAGAUCUGAAGGAAUACCAGUGGCGAAGGCGGCCCCCUGGACAAAGACUGACGCUCAGAUGCGAAAGCGUGGGGAGCAAACAGGAUUAGAUACCCUGGUAG
This 464-nucleotide ribosomal RNA is filed under the name uncultured bacterium. Its description in RNAcentral is "bacterial SSU rRNA". It matches the Rfam family "Bacterial small subunit ribosomal RNA", at positions 335 to 793 of the family's 1533-position model. The record is from RNAcentral.